CGAAGCGAGACAGGUGACUCGUAAGCGAAGCGGCUUAUGUUCACUUCCGCACGAGUCCGCCUCCUCAACUCGGCCGAGUCGCUCCUCGUGCCACCGAUCCGGUGCCCUCGCCGUGGCUUAACUCGGUACCUUCCUCCUCUGCGACGUCUCCUGUCAAUUGGUCCUCGCCCUCCUCCCCGCUUCUCCGCUUCGUUCUGUACUUCCAGCCACUGUCUCCGCCCUCCGAUGGAUCCCGCCGGAUCCGCCUCUGCGGGGUCGGAUCCUUUCGGCGUCGACGACUACGUUCACGUCUCCAAAUCUUCGUCCAACGAGGCGGCGCUCUAUUUGGAAUCGGAACGAUCCGAGACGUUCGACUCUGAUCUCCUUCCCGGGGCCGCGGAAGGGCGAUCCUCCGAGGUGGAGCCAGAUGCGAGUGGCCUGCGAUUGGGAGAGCAGGAGGGUUCUGAGACAGCGGAGAAAAGAGUGUUACCGGAGAAAUUGGCGAAAGGCGUGGUGUUCUUGGAGUGCGAGUCGUCGGCCGAAGGUGGAUCCUGCGAUGUGUACCUCGUCGGAACCGCCCAUGUUUCUCAGGAGUCUUGCAAAGAAGUUCAAGCCAUCAUCAGUUGCUUGAAGCCUCAGGUUGUUUUCCUGGAAUUGUGUGCAAGCCGGGUUGCCAUUUUGGCGCCCCAAAAUUUUCAGGUUCCAACUAUGAGUGAAAUGAUUGACAUGUGGAAGAAAAAAAAGAUGAAUACUUUUGGAAUUCUGUACAGCUGGUUUCUAGCCAAGGUUGCUCAUAAACUAGAAGUUCUUCCAGGAGCUGAGUUCCGAAUAGCAUAUGAAGAAACAAUGGGUUAUGGAGGCAAAAUUAUUCUGGGUGACCGUCCUGUUCAUAUUACCUUGAAAAGAACUUGGGGCAAGAUGUCAUUAUGGGCUAGAACUAAAUUCUUGGUCAACAUACUUUUUCAGACAGUAUUUUUACCAAGUACUGAUGAACUAAAUAAGAUGCUGAAGGACAUGGAUAAUGUUGACAUGCUAACUCUUGUAAUCCAAGAAAUGAGCAAGGCAUUCCCAACUCUAAUGGACACUCUUCUUCAUGAAAGAGAUAUGUACAUGUCCUCCACCUUACUAAAGGUUGCAAGAGAGCACUCUUCAGUUGUUGCAGUUGUCGGCAAAGGACAUUUAGCUGGAAUAAAGAAGAACUGGAAACAGCCCAUUGAGUGGGAGCUGGGCACUCAAUUGGCUGUACUCAGUCUAGUCCGGGCGAGUGAAAACCUAGUCUAGUGCAUAUCAGCUGAAUUCUUGUACUAUGAACCUUCUCUGGCAAAUCUGAGAGGUCAAAUCUGCUUUACGCAAAGAUGAAGCAUCUUCUGGAAGUUCCAGUACGAAGUGCAGGACCAACAAGAAAAACAAUUCUAGCAUCUGUUGCAGUUGGAUUGACUGGAAUAGCUGCUGGUGUUUAUCUUCUUGCUAAGAGAUGAUCCUUGGAAUUCAACACACAAGUUAAUUCCUUAUUUAGGAUGAAAAGGUGCUUUUGUUUUAAAUUUGUUAUUAUUAUUAUUAGUUUCGAUAGGAUCAGAUUAAAGUUGUUGGUACUUGUUAUCGUUUCAUUAUUCUGAAGUUUCUGCAGCCUUCACUUCGAAAUUUUUAAUGAGAUUAACUAAUUUUAGCUUUUA
RNA transcript from Zingiber officinale, 1652 nucleotides. It is a transcript of the gene named traB domain-containing protein-like, with no coding region annotated. The transcript is spliced from 10 exons. Lineage: Eukaryota; Viridiplantae; Streptophyta; Magnoliopsida; Zingiberales; Zingiberaceae. The record is from RefSeq and is a predicted model, not a curated record.